AUGUAUGUAUUAAAAAUCUCAAAUGCAGAAGCGUAAUAAAAAUUUUGAUUAAUAUCCCUUACACAAUAACCAAAAGGUACUCAAAACAUGAAGGAACAAACUAACUAUAAGAGAUACUCGAAAUAAGAACUAUAAAUAUAACUAUGAAAUCUUUAGGCAUUCCCUUCGCCGUCUUCCUGCUGAACGGGCUCGGGAACAACGUCUUCCUGAUCUGAAAUGGUUAAAUAAAGAAUGAGCUACACCAGCCCAGUAAAGACAUCACACUAUCUCACCACCACGAAAGUAAAGGUGGGUAGAAAAUAAAAAUAACCAAUGGAGCAUAAUUUAUAACAAACUCGUUUAUUAACAUAAGAACUUUUACUGUCCACUUACCUCGGUGAGAUCCAUAAAAACAACAUAUGAAAGCAAUAACAUUAUCAUCAUCAUGAAAUCAUAUAAACUUUAUAAUAUAACACUUACCACGCCUUUGCAUUUCAAUCAUUAAAUAACAUAUUUUCCUCUUUUACCAGCCUACUAGUAUCCAUGGGAAUCCAUAGGGGGUCCCCGCUACCCGUGAACCAUUAACAUUACAACCUGAUUCCAGGGCCGUCCCCAUACCCCGUCCGGUAUGGGCACCAAAACCAUGAACCUCAAUACCCAGUCCGGUAUAAGGGUGAAACGGGUCGUCCCCAUACCCCGUCCGGUAU
RNAcentral lists this long non-coding RNA (686 nucleotides) under Carica papaya (papaya). RNAcentral's name for it is "long non-coding RNA (CPAP_LNC014051)". Lineage: Eukaryota; Viridiplantae; Streptophyta; Magnoliopsida; Brassicales; Caricaceae. The record is from RNAcentral.